AUGGUACCGUAACUUCGGGAGAAGGUACGCUCUUGAUGGUGAAGUCCCUUGCGGAUGGAGCUGACGAGAGUCGCAGAUACCAGGUGGCUGCAACUGUUUAUUAAAAACACAGCACUGUGCAAAAUCGUAAGAUGACGUAUACGGUGUGACGCCUGCCCGGUGCCGGAAGGUUAAUUGAUGGGGUUAGACUUCGGUCGAAGCUCUUGAUCGAAGCCCCGGUAAACGGCGGCCGUAACUAUAACGGUCCUAAGGUAGCGAAAUUCCUUGUCGGGUAAGUUCCGACCUGCACGAAUGGCGUAAUGAUGGCCACGCUGUCUCCACCCGAGACUCAGUGAAAUUGAAAUCGCUGUGAAGAUGCAGUGUACCCGCGGCUAGACGGAAAGACCCCGUGAACCUUUACUACAGCUUGGCACUGAACAUUGACCCUACAUGUGUAGGAUAGGUGGGAGGCUUUGAAGCACGUACGCCAGUAUGUGUGGAGCCGUCCUUGAAAUACCACCCUUGUAGUGUUGAUGUUCUAACGUCGACCCCUGAUCGGGGUUGCGGACAGUGCCUGGUGGGUAGUUUGACUGGGGCGGUCUCCUCCCAAAGAGUAACGGAGGAGCACGAAGGUGGGCUAAUCACGGUUGGACAUCGUGAGGUUAGUGCAAUGGCAUAAGCCCGCUUGACUGCGAGAAUGACAAUUCGAGCAGGUGCGAAAGCAGGUCAUAGUGAUCCGGUGGUUCUGAAUGGAAGGGCCAUCGCUCAACGGAUAAAAGGUACUCCGGGGAUAACAGGCUGAUACCGCCCAAGAGUUCAUAUCGACGGCGGUGUUUGGCACCUCGAUGUCGGCUCAUCACAUCCUGGGGCUGAAGUCGGUCCCAAGGGUAUGGCUGUUCGCCAUUUAAAGUGGUACGCGAGCUGGGUUUAGAACGUCGUGAGACAGUUCGGUCCCUAUCUGCCGUGGGCGUUGGAAGAUUGAAGGGGGCUGCUCCUAGUACGAGAGGACCGGAGUGGACGAACCUCUGGUGUUCGGGUUGUGUCGCCAGACGCAUUGCCCGGUAGCUAAGUUCGGAAUCGAUAACCGCUGAAAGCAUCUAAGCGGGAAGCGAGCCCUGAGAUGAGUCUUCCCUGAUACUUUAAGUAUCCUAAAGGGUUGUCGGAGACUACGACGUUGAUAGGUCAGGUGUGUAAGUGCUGUGAGGCAUUGAGCUAACUGAUACUAAUUGCCCGUGAGGCUUAACCAUACAACACCCAAGGGGUUU
This 1244-nucleotide ribosomal RNA is filed under the name Vibrio parahaemolyticus. RNAcentral describes it as "bacterial LSU rRNA". It matches the Rfam family "Bacterial large subunit ribosomal RNA", at positions 1722 to 2925 of the family's 2925-position model. Lineage: Bacteria; Pseudomonadati; Pseudomonadota; Gammaproteobacteria; Vibrionales; Vibrionaceae. The record is from RNAcentral.